AGAGUUUGAUCCUGGCUCAGGACGAACGCUGGCGGCGUGCCUAAUACAUGCAUGUCGAACGCUUUUUUCAAUCAUCGUAGCUUGCUACACCGAUUGGAAAUUGAGUGGCGAACGGGUGAGUAACACGUGGGUAACCUGCCCAAAAGAGGGGGAUAACACUUGGAAACAGGUGCUAAUACCGCAUAACCAUGAUGACCGCAUGGUCAUUAUGUAAAAGAUGGUUUCGGCUAUCACUUUUGGAUGGACCCGCGGCGUAUUAACUUGUUGGUGGGGUAACGGCCUACCAAGGUGAUGAUACGUAGCCGAACUGAGAGGUUGAUCGGCCACAUUGGGACUGAGACACGGCCCAAACUCCUACGGGAGGCAGCAGUAGGGAAUCUUCCACAAUGGGCGCAAGCCUGAUGGAGCAACGCCGCGUGAGUGAAGAAGGUCUUCGGAUCGUAAAACUCUGUUGUUAGAGAAGAACAUGCGAGAGAGUAACUGUUCUUGUAUUGACGGUAUCUAACCAGAAAGCCACGGCUAACUACGUGCCAGCAGCCGCGGUAAUACGUAGGUGGCAAGCGUUGUCCGGAUUUAUUGGGCGUAAAGGGAACGCAGGCGGUCCUUUAAGUCUGAUGUGAAAGCCUUCGACUUAACCGAAGAAUUGCAUUGGAAACUGGAGGACUUGAGUGCAGAAGAGGAGAGUGGAACUCCAUGUGUAGCGGUGAAAUGCGUAGAUAUAUGGAAGAACACCAGUGGCGAAAGCGGCUCUCUGGUCUGUAACUGACGCUGAGGUUCGAAAGUGUGGGUAGCAAACAGGAUUAGAUACCCUGGUAGUCCACACCGUAAACGAUGAA
RNAcentral lists this ribosomal RNA (836 nucleotides) under uncultured bacterium. RNAcentral describes it as "bacterial SSU rRNA". It matches the Rfam family "Bacterial small subunit ribosomal RNA", at positions 8 to 813 of the family's 1533-position model. The record is from RNAcentral.